AUCCAGUUGGCGAGUCUCAAAUGGGACGAAACGUACGUCCUGCAU
This is a non-coding RNA of Schistosoma mansoni, 45 nucleotides long. NCBI's taxonomy places the organism in Eukaryota, Metazoa, Platyhelminthes, Trematoda, Strigeidida, Schistosomatidae. The record is from Rfam.